AGCGUAGGCGGUUCGGUAAGUCAGAUGUCAAAUCUCUCGGCUUAACUGAGAGGGGUCAUUUGAUACUGCCGGACUUGAGGGCAGUAGAGGAAGGUGGAAUUCCCGGUGCAGUGGUGAAAUGCGUAGAUAUCGGGAGGAACACCAGUGGCGAAGGCGGCCUUCUGGGCUGUUCCUGACGCUGAGGCUCGAAAGCGUGGGGAGUGAACAGGAUCAGAUACCCUGGUAAUCCACGCCCUAAACUGUGGACACUAGGUACAGGGAGUAUCGACCCUUCCUGCGCCGUAGUUAACGCGUUAAGUGUCCCGCCUGGGGACUACGGUCGCAAGACUAAA
Molecule: ribosomal RNA, 332 nt
Filed under: uncultured bacterium
Lineage: Bacteria
Description: bacterial SSU rRNA
Rfam family: Bacterial small subunit ribosomal RNA
Source: RNAcentral